UACAUGGGGUGCAAACGUUGCUCGGAAUUAUUGGGCGUAAAGCGCACGUAGGCGGCUUUGCAAGUCCCAUGUGAAAUCCCACGGCUCAACCGUGGAAGUGCAUGGGAAACUGCAGAGCUUGAGUACUUAAGAGGAUCGCGGAAUUCCCGGUGUAGAGGUGAAAUUCGUAGAUAUCGGGAGGAACACCAGUGGCGAAGGCGGCGAUCUGGGAAGAUACUGACGCUGAGGUGCGAAAGCGUGGGGAGCAAACAGG
RNAcentral lists this ribosomal RNA (253 nucleotides) under uncultured bacterium. RNAcentral's name for it is "partial 16S ribosomal RNA". It matches the Rfam family "Bacterial small subunit ribosomal RNA", at positions 524 to 776 of the family's 1533-position model. The record is from RNAcentral.